GAAAAAUAUUUAAAACUUAAAAACAAAACCACUUUGUUGAUAUGAUUUGUGAGAUGUGUGAAUGUCACUUAGGUUACUGCUGAUGUAGCCAGUAUGCAGGACAGCUGAUUAGGGUUCUCAUCAGUUAUUGACGGGUUAUUGUGUGGUGCAGCCCAUGGAGCGGAGCUCUCUGAAGAACAGCGACGUCCUCAUCCUAACAGGCCUGACCCGGACCCCACCGCCAACCCGGAUGGCAUGCUGGGAGGAUUCUGCAGCAACCUGGCCAUGACGAUCCGUGCCGGUGCCGUGGUAUUCGUCCGGGGUCAUCUGUGACCUGC
RNAcentral lists this long non-coding RNA (317 nucleotides) under Sinocyclocheilus grahami. RNAcentral describes it as "lncRNA (ENSSGRG00000049232.1)". Lineage: Eukaryota; Metazoa; Chordata; Actinopteri; Cypriniformes; Cyprinidae. The record is from RNAcentral.